RNAcentral lists this long non-coding RNA (1476 nucleotides) under Lepidothrix coronata (blue-crowned manakin). Its description in RNAcentral is "lncRNA (ENSLCOG00000006502.1)". Lineage: Eukaryota; Metazoa; Chordata; Aves; Passeriformes; Pipridae. The record is from RNAcentral.
GUCCAAGGUUUUCCAUGCCAAACCUGUCGUUGCUGUGGAAGACCUAGAGAUCUCCUGCAACUGGCAGAUGUUGUAGUGGGUUUGGGAAGAGCAUCCUCUAUCCAAACCGAAAAAGGAUACAACAUGCACUGAAUGGUGACGCGAUGGCACAUGUCUCAAGUUGUGUUCCAGCUACAGUCCAGUCUUCGAAAGUCCUUGAAUGCACAGCGGUUAUGGGGGUGCUGACAGGGCAGUAGAAAGACACUGGUCACACUGCAUCCCUUGAAAGAGAGAGGAGAGGAAGCAGAGCAUGGGUACAGAUGCUAUGAGGCAUUUGGGGGUUGGGAGAGGCAUUGUUUGCCUGGGGAUUUUUGUUUUGUUUUUGUUUUCCUAUGCUUAAGCACUAAAACUGAGUAAAGCCCUUUAAAAUUCCUUCUGUCCUACAAAAGUAGGAAUGCCCUUAUCAGGAACUUGUGCGUGUCAAGUGGAACCAAGGUGAAGCUUUAAAGGACCAUGGUCAUGACAGAGACUUUCACCAUGCCCUGGAAAUGGACAGCCACCUGCAUACCUCAGAGGUUUACUAUAGCCUUUGACAUACCCUGUACGAAUAACACCAGAAAGGCAGAAGACUACAUCGUGCCACAGUCCAGACGCCAGAUACUGUCUGUAUUUGAAGGGUUUAGAGCCCUUGUCCCUUUAACAAAAUACAUGUAUGAUAGUGGUUUAAGGACAAACACUCCAUUGACUCACUUUGUACACCUUGUGCAUGAAAAAUAUUCCAGUUAAGUGUAUUGUCAAAACAUAGAUGUAGGAAAUAAUUCAUGUGUAAAGAUGUGCAUUAGUAACUUCAGCUUAGGGUUGCAAGGAGCUGUUUUAGCAUGAACGCUAUCCAAAAAAGGGGUGCUUAUUUCCAUAGAAAUGGAUGUACUGGAGCAUCAGCAAAGGAGCGUGAAGGUGUUCUUCAGUCCAAGACUCUUUGUUUCAGUGAAGUGAAUCUGAAUCUGGCCCUGGAUCCAAAUGCUGAGUGGAAAAGUGGGAAGCAGGAUGACCUACAAGAUGUAAAGCAUGACUGGGAAAAACCCUGUACUACCACUCUUAUACUUGGAAAAUGGCUUAUUUCAGGAUGUUGCCUGUUUCCUAUAGGUUUCUGUAAGCUGCUGGAGGUAAACUAGGUUGGGAUGCCUGUUUCUUCCCAGCUGUCCCGUCAUCUUCCCUUUUUGCUACUGAACCUUGUUUCUCCAUCAUGUGCCUGGAAAUGAAGCAAGGGAAGAAGUUUGGUUGGUUCUGCUUCCUCGAGGCACAGCAAAGGAGUGGUGGUGGGAGAGGGGCUUUGCUGUAGCGAGGGGAGGUGCAGGUACCACAGGUUGGAAGUACAAGGGCUGUGUUAAUUUGGCCAAGUCAGCCUUGGACAGCAGUGUCAAACUGCUUUGGCUUCCCCCUGCAGAGGCUCCAAGAGCAGCAAGGGUCUGAAAUAGGGUGUGAUGGGUGUAACUUUGC